Molecule: long non-coding RNA, 209 nt
Filed under: Capsicum annuum
Lineage: Eukaryota; Viridiplantae; Streptophyta; Magnoliopsida; Solanales; Solanaceae
Description: long non-coding RNA (CANN_LNC008023)
Source: RNAcentral
GGACAUCUAUGUACUGAUCUGCGAGACUUUAUUAGACAUCCCAUUUUUACACCAUUGAGAACAAUGAAACCUAGCUGUUUUUAUACCAAUUUGUCAAGACCCAAAAAUGAGGGUCAUGAUGACACUUGUUGCGGCGUACCUUGACAAGUAAGCCUAUCACCCAAACUGAUAUAAAAAGAAGAAAAGACAGAAAUAUCCCAAAGUAAGGC